Molecule: ribosomal RNA, 669 nt
Filed under: Microchloropsis gaditana
Lineage: Eukaryota; Eustigmatophyceae; Eustigmatales; Monodopsidaceae
Description: SSU rRNA
Source: RNAcentral
GGUAACGCGUGAGAAUUCGCCUUUAGGAGGGGGAUAACGGAUGGAAACAUUCGCUAAAACCCCAUGUGCCCUCGGGUGAAAAAGAGAAAGUAAGUCAUACUGAUUUAUCUCUGCCUGAAGAGAAGCUCGCGGCUGAUUAGCUAGUUGGUAGGGUAAAGGCCUACCAAGGCGACGAUCAGUAGCUGGUCUGAGAGGACGAUCAGCCACACUGGAACUGAGACACGGUCCAGACUCCUACGGGAGGCAGCAGUGAGGAAUUUUCUGCAAUGGGCGAAAGCCUGACAGAGCAAUACCGCGUGGGGGAUGAAGACUUACUGAGUUGUAAACCUCGGUACCCUAAGGAAGAAGAUAUGACGGUACUUAGGGUGGAAAGCAUCGGCUAACUCCGUGCCAGCAGCCGCGGUAAGACGGGGGAUGCAAGUGUUAUCCGGAUUUACUGGGCGUAAAGCGUCUGCAGGUGGUUUCUUAAGUCUACUGUUAAAUCUUGAGGCUCAACCUCAAAUCUGCAGUAGAAACUAGGAGACUUGAGUAUAGUAGGGGUAGAGGGAAUUUCCAGUGGAGCGGUGAAAUGCGUAGAUAUUGGAAAGAACACCGAUGGCGAAGGCACUCUACUGGGCUAUUACUGACACUCAGAGACGAAAGCUAGGGGAGCAAAUGGGAUWASAUACC